RNAcentral lists this ribosomal RNA (107 nucleotides) under Jaculus jaculus (lesser Egyptian jerboa). The record is from RNAcentral. Lineage: Eukaryota; Metazoa; Chordata; Mammalia; Rodentia; Dipodidae.
GUCUACGGUCAUACCACCAUGAAUGCACCUGAUCUCAGAAGCUAAGCAGGGUCAGGCCUGGUUAAUUCUUGGAUAGGAGAAUCCUAUUUUACUGGGCAUUGUGGCAU